Long non-coding RNA from Aethalodelphis obliquidens (Pacific white-sided dolphin), 657 nucleotides. RefSeq lists it as uncharacterized. Lineage: Eukaryota; Metazoa; Chordata; Mammalia; Artiodactyla; Delphinidae. The transcript has 2 exons. The record is from RefSeq and is a predicted model, not a curated record.
GAGCAGGAACCGCCGUUCUCGCAGCUGCAGGACACGGAGCAGUUGGGGCCCCAGCGACCGGGCGGACACGUGCUGUCACAGUGGAUGCCUGUGGGCCAGAGGCAGACUCAAGGAAUGAAAUGGAGAACUGAAGCCCGGAGGAUAUAAAGAAAAGGUGCAUAUGUAGGAAGCAAGAAGAAGAAAAGGUGAAGGAACAGUCAAGAGAAGCAGGAGAAUACCAAGAGCUCAGUUUCACAGGACCAGGAUGGUGGCAUGGCAGAGGGGGUUACCUGUCCAUCCGGCCAGGCAGCAGCAGUGGCCUGUGACGGGAUCGCAGCCAUCGGCGUGGCUGCAGUCACAACGCUCACUGCAGUUCAGCCCAAACGUGCCAUCCUGUGGAGAGAAAAAUGACGAGACCUAGACCCUCAGAGGUUCUCACACUUCUUUCGGAUGUUGAUGACAAAACUGAGCCACUGCCCAACAAGGAUGAAGAGAAACUGGGGCUGGAGCACUGUGGAGGCACUUGUUAUAACUGGGGAUCCAGUGAGGCUACUCCAAAUAAUUCUUUGGCUGCAUUACGAAGAGUAUGCAGUUUGGAGGGAGGGAGGUGUUGGUCCUGCCCUACCUCUCAAUGGUCAAGCUCAGAGAGCUGUAAUGAUCAUGAAUUAAAAUUGUGAA